Molecule: ribosomal RNA, 225 nt
Filed under: Clostridioides difficile
Lineage: Bacteria; Bacillati; Bacillota; Clostridia; Peptostreptococcales; Peptostreptococcaceae
Description: partial 16S ribosomal RNA
Rfam family: Bacterial small subunit ribosomal RNA
Source: RNAcentral
CGGCCACAUUGGAACUGAGACACGGUCCAAACUCCUACGGGAGGCAGCAGUGGGGAAUAUUGCACAAUGGGCGAAAGCCUGAUGCAGCAACGCCGCGUGAGUGAUGAAGGCCUUCGGGUCGUAAAACGCUGUCCUCAAGGAAGAUAAUGACGGUACUUGAGGAGGAAGCCCCGGCUAACUACGUGCCAGCAGCCGCGGUAAUACGUAGGGGGCUAGCGUUAUCCG